This 585-nucleotide ribosomal RNA is filed under the name uncultured bacterium. RNAcentral's name for it is "bacterial SSU rRNA". It matches the Rfam family "Bacterial small subunit ribosomal RNA", at positions 338 to 916 of the family's 1533-position model. The record is from RNAcentral.
CCUACGGGAGGCAGCAGUGGGGAAUUUUGGACAAUGGGCGAAAGCCUGAUCCAGCAAUGCCGCGUGAGUGAAGAAGGCCUUCGGGUUGUAAAGCUCUUUUGUCAGGGAAGAAACGGUGAGAGCUAAUAUCUCUUGCUAAUGACGGUACCUGAAGAAUAAGCACCGGCUAACUACGUGCCAGCAGCCGCGGUAGUACGUAGGGUGCAAGCGUUAAUCGGAAUUACUGGGCGUAAAGCGUGCGCAGGCGGUUUUGUAAGUCUGAUGUGAAAUCCCCGGGCUCAACCUGGGAAUUGCAUUGGAGACUGCAAGGCUAGAAUCUGGCAGAGGGGGGUAGAAUUCCACGUGUAGCAGUGAAAUGCGUAGAUAUGUGGAGGAACACCGAUGGCGAAGGCAGCCCCCUGGGUCAAGAUUGACGCUCAUGCACGAAAGCGUGGGGAGCAAACAGGAUUAGAUACCCUGGUAGUCCACGCCCUAAACGAUGUCUACUAGUUGUCGGGUCUUAAUUGACUUGGUAACGCAGCUAACGCGUGAAGUAGACCGCCUGGGGAGUACGGUGCAAGAUUAAAACGUUAAAUGAAUUGACGG